Molecule: ribosomal RNA, 459 nt
Filed under: uncultured bacterium
Lineage: Bacteria
Description: partial 16S ribosomal RNA
Rfam family: Bacterial small subunit ribosomal RNA
Source: RNAcentral
CCUACGGGAGGCAGCAGUGAGGAAUAUUGGUCAAUGGCCGGAAGGCUGAACCAGCCAUGCCGCGUGAAGGUCAGUGCCCUAUGGGCGUUAAACUUCUUUUGUGCGGGAGCAAUAAUGGUCACGUGUGGCCAGACGAGAGUACCUCAUGAAUAAGCCACGGCUAACUACGUGCCAGCAGCCGCGGUAAUACGUAGGUGGCAAGCGUUAUCCGGAUUUACUGGGUGUAAAGGGCGUGUAGGCGGGACUGCAAGUCAGAUGUGAAAAUUAUGGGCUCAACCCAUAACCUGCAUUUGAAACUGUAGUUCUUGAGUGAGGGAGAGGCAGGCGGAAUUCCGGGUGUAGCGGUGAAAUGCGUAGAUAUACGGAGGAACACCAGUGGCGAAGGCGGCCUGCUGGACAUUAACUGACGCUGAGGCGCGAAAGCGUGGGGAGCAAACAGGAUUAGAUACCCUGGUAGUC